AGAAUGAUGUUGCUUUGGGAGUGGUGCCCCUAAACCCAGUAUUGCUGAAGAAAGAAGUAUAUUAUGUAGAACAGGUACCUGGUCAUAAUCAUUUCCCUCUUGCGUCAUGAUCAUUAGACCGUAAAAAUAUGAGGAAGAAUGAUGUUGCUUUUUAAUUUUUGCACAAUACCAAAAACAUUUUAGGUAGUUCAUAAAUAAAACUGACGUGAGAAAGGAGCCACGUGGGGGGAAAUAUAAGGCUGAAUUUAGUUGGUAGUCCUCACUGGAGUACAACCUCUCAAUCGGUGUGAUUAAUAGAAGUAUUGGCUCAACAUUCAGCAAUAUAUUUAAUGGUUCUACUUUAGCUGGGACCAGCCAGUUGGACUUAGGCCAUUAUCACCAGCUGUGAAGAUUGCAGAACUUGAGAGAAGAUAAUGAAUGCUUACCUCAUAGAUCAGGAGCGGGCAAAGCACAGCUUUCCAGCUGCUGUGGGGUUGCAUCUCCCACCAGCCCUAGCCAGCACAGCAAAUAACAAGAAAUACUGGGAGCUGCAGUCGAACAUCUGUUGGCUCAAAACAAAGUUGUCCACCACUACAAAGCAUGUUUGUUUUCUUUCAGAUUGCAAACUACAGAGUUGCUUUAUAUCAGCAAUAGCCAACUUAACCACAUUUUAUACGGACAUUAUAAAAACAACAGUGAGCCUGGUGGCAACACACAGGCAGUCGACAGAGAAAUGUGAAAGUGAGAGGUCCAACCACUCAGCUGACCAGCGUAUCACAUUGCCAUGCAGAAUCCAGUGGGGAAACAAAAGCAGUUUGGAAAAAGGGACACCCCCAAGUGGGAGUAACCCACUUCAAGCAGGUAAUUAGCAAAGCUAGAUGAAGACCAUACCUGAAUAUCAAAAGAGGGACAAUCACUUUCUAUGAUGAAUCAGCUAUCCCAACUCUGUCAGAUCUACCAAUGAAUUCCAUAAGGUAUACACCAUAUUUUUGUCUUUGUUGAUUUUGUUUACUUUUUAUUUCUAUUUUGUUUUUAUCUAUAAUGCUUGCACGGACUAACAUGGCUACAUGCACAGAAUAACAUGGCUAUUCCUACAACCACAAUAAAUUCCAGCACAGUGCUUCA
This 1104-nucleotide long non-coding RNA is filed under the name Pogona vitticeps (central bearded dragon). Its description in RNAcentral is "lncRNA (ENSPVIG00000019885.1)". The record is from RNAcentral. Lineage: Eukaryota; Metazoa; Chordata; Lepidosauria; Squamata; Agamidae.